GGGGUAAAAUUAAUAAAUGGGGUUAAUUAAUAAAAGAAAUUUUAAUAUUAAAAAUAUUUAAUGGGGGUUAAAGUAUUUUUAAUUGAAAAAAUUUGAAAUUUUAUAGUGGAGUAGUAUUGUGAAAGAAAUUUGAAAUAAUUAAAAUAAAAAUUAAUUUUAAAGUAAUCUUUAUUUGUUGUAUCUUGUGUAUCAGAGUUUAUUAAAAAUUUUUUAUUUAAUUUAAAAUUCUCGAAUUUAAAAGAGUUAAUUAAUUAAUAAAUUUAUUGUUUCAUAAAUAUUUUAAAUAAUUAAUUGGAAAUGAAAUGUUAUUCGUUUUUAAAUAUAUCUAGUUAUUUUAGAAAAAAAUUUAAUUUUUAAUUAAAAUUUAAAAUUAAUUAAUUAAUUAAUUAAUUUUAAAUUUUAAUUUAAUAUUUUAAGGGAUAAGCUUUAAUUUAAAUUUUUAUAAUAAAUAAAUUAAAUAUUUGAAAAUUUUAUAAUUUAUAUUGUUAAUAAAUUUUAAUUUAUUAUAAAUAAUUUCAAUAAAAUUGAAAAUUUAAUUAAAAUUUAAUUUUUUAUAAAAAAAUUUUUUUUAAUAAUAAAAAAUUAUUUAUAAUGAUAAAAUUAGUAUAUAAAUGUUGAAUUUAAUUUUAAUUUUUAGUAAAGUAUUUUAAAGGAAUUCGACAAAAAAUUAUAUUCACCUGUUUAUCAAAAACAUGUCUUUUUGAUUAAUAAUUUAAAGUCUAAUCUGCCCACUGAUUUUUAAAAAAUUAAAGGGCUGCAGUAUAUUGACUGUACAAAGGUAGCAUAAUCAUUAGUCUCUUAAUUGGUGACUUGUAUGAAAGAUUGGAUGAGAUAUAAGUUGUCUCUAAAAUAUUUAUAGAAAUUAAUUUUUUAAUUAAAAAGUUAAAAUAAAUUAAAAAGACGAGAAGACCCUAUAGAGUUUUAUAAUUAUUAAUUUUUAAGUUUUUUAUUAAAUUAAAUUUAAUUUAAAAAUUAUUAAUUAUUUUAUUGGGGUGAUAAAAAAAUAAAUUAAACUUUUUUUUAUAUAUAACAUAAAUAAGUGAUUAAUUGAUCCAAUAUUUUUGAUUAUAAGAAAAAAUUACCUUAGGGAUAACAGCGUAAUUUUUUUUUUUAGUUCAAAUAAGAAAUAAAGUUUGCGACCUCGAUGUUGGAUUAAGAUAAAAUUUAAAUGCAGAAGUUUAAAAUUUUGAUCUGUUCGAUCAUUAAAAUCUUACAUGAUCUGAGUUCAAACCGGUGUAAGCCAGGUUGGUUUCUAUCUUUUAAUUAAUUUAAUAUUUUAGUACGAAAGGAUUAAAUAUUAUAAUUAAAUUAAAUCAAAUUGAAUUUUAUUAAUUUAUUAAUAUAUAUAUAUAUAUAUAUAUAAAUUUA
RNAcentral lists this ribosomal RNA (1368 nucleotides) under Deilephila elpenor (elephant hawk-moth). Its description in RNAcentral is "16S ribosomal RNA". Lineage: Eukaryota; Metazoa; Arthropoda; Insecta; Lepidoptera; Sphingidae. The record is from RNAcentral.